UAUUUAUUAAUAUGUUUAUUUUGUGUUUAUAUGCAUAAAAUGAAGUCAAAUACAUAAUCUGCUUAUAUUGCAAACAGUAGUUAGCAAAACUACAAGCUAUUCGGCUAGAGGUGGUUUACUCUCAUGUGAUGUCAUUCUCACAUUAGAGCUCUGACUUAAGACACCAACUAAUUAGCAUUAGUUAAGGCCAUACAGUGAUAAUCUCACAUCAGGCCAACCCUACUGAAGGAUGGAAAUGGUUUAAAAAACAAUGCAAGUACAAAAAAGAUCUGAUUAGUGAUUAGCCGCCUUAUGUGAUGUCAUCAAAGCCAUGCAAGCUUGUUUUUUCCAAAGGGAAUCAAGAUCUUAUUUUAUUUCAAUGCAAAGCACUGAAAGAAAAAAACAAAAACAAAAAACAGCUGGAACGAAACAUUUUGUUACAUGUGACAAACUUUAUAUCAACAGUGGACUUUGUUGCUUUUUCAGAAAAGUGUGGGCAGCAGCUUUACGGUGGCUACUUUUUUUGGGGGGGGAGUUCACAAUUGUGGCACUGGAGAACAUGUCCCAGUCAAAGUCCAUUUAACCAUUAUAUGUGAUAUAAAAACUAAUACAUGUAAAAGUCAACAACAGUAUAAGCUCUUUUACUAAAUUCCACCUAUGUGUGUGUUAGCUGAGAUAAUCUCGUCUGGUUGGCAAACUUUGUUAGCAUAGAUCAAACACUGAGCCACGCGCCAUCAUUUCCUUACAUUAAACGGCAACGCUUAGAAACUUUACGGCUCCUUUCCAAACACAUUCACACAUUAAUUCCCAUGUCUUUUCUCAUUAUAGUAAGUGAAACAAAACUGCUUUGCUAUGUCGCAUUAACGGAUUCCUUCAUGAAUGCGUAAUGACGUCUAAGCAGAAACAGGAUGCAGAACGUAGUCUGCCGCAGCGCACACAUUAACGAACAGCUAACCGCUUUGCCGACGUGAAAAUGAAACGUCCGGGUUCUGGAGAUCCGGCUGUAAACCUAACGGUUCUUAACGGUGUGUGUCCAGCCGGCUGGUUGAGCUCAGAAAGGUGCAACCGCUCAAGAUCCGGGCAGGUCUUUUCAUGUUUUCAUGGAGUAUAAAAGUCAGGGUUGUUUUUUUUCUCUCUCUCUCUCUCUCUCUCUCUGCGGACUGGGGAAAAACUAGAAACCUGCUUUCAUAGUGGGAGAUACGCGAGGAGCUCCGAUGAGAGUGGUCGGAUUUUCUUCCAGCAAACGUCCAGGCUGUUCUGUCCCUCGUCGUGUCCCUGCUAAUUUCAUCCCCCCCCCCCUCCCUCUCUCGUGUGCGGUGUCUGCGUGGGCGUAUUAUCCGGACAGAUGUGCGGGUCGGGCCUGCUGGAGAGAGAAG
Molecule: long non-coding RNA, 1355 nt
Organism: Poecilia latipinna (sailfin molly)
Lineage: Eukaryota; Metazoa; Chordata; Actinopteri; Cyprinodontiformes; Poeciliidae
Exons: 2
Source: RefSeq, a predicted model, not a curated record